RNAcentral lists this ribosomal RNA (497 nucleotides) under uncultured bacterium. RNAcentral describes it as "partial 16S ribosomal RNA". It matches the Rfam family "Bacterial small subunit ribosomal RNA", at positions 29 to 507 of the family's 1533-position model. The record is from RNAcentral.
AAUGAACGCUGGCGGCAUGCCUAAUACAUGCAAGUCGAGCGAGCGCACCGGAGGCAGGCUCCUCUGGGGUUAUCGGCCGACGGAUGAUUAACACUUGUAUAACCUAGCUAUAGGACUGUGAGAGCUUCGGGGAACCCGAGCUAAGACCGGAUAAUAUUUUGAACCACAUGGUUCAAGAGUGAGAUAAGGUCUUUCUGUGACUUAUAGAUGGAUCAGCGCUGCAUUGGCUAGUUGGUAAGGUAACGGCUUACCAAGGCAACGAUGCAGAGCCGACCUCAGCGGGUGGACCGACACACUGGAACUGAGACACGGUCCAGACUCCUACGCGAGGACGCAGCAGGGACUCCUCCGCAAGGGGCGAAUGCCUAACGGAGCACAGCCGCGUGAGUGCUGAAGUACUUAGGCUGGUAAAACUAUGAUAUUCGGGAAGAUGUUAUGUGCAAGUAACUGUGAACAUCUUGACGGUACCUAAACAGAAAGCCACGGCUAACUCCGUG